Molecule: signal recognition particle RNA, 95 nt
Filed under: Gammaproteobacteria bacterium
Lineage: Bacteria; Pseudomonadati; Pseudomonadota; Gammaproteobacteria
Description: signal recognition particle sRNA small type
Rfam family: Bacterial small signal recognition particle RNA
About the family: The signal recognition particle (SRP) is a universally conserved ribonucleoprotein involved in the co-translational targeting of proteins to membranes. Archaeal SRP consists of a 7S RNA and homologues of the eukaryotic SRP19 and SRP54 proteins.
Source: RNAcentral
AUUUACGACUUUACGAUAGAGUUGAGGUGAACCUGGUCAGAUGCGGAAGCAAGCAGCCACAGCAACAAAUUUAUGUGUAGAUAAUCGCAGUACAA